UAUCGUGAAAACAAGGACCAACAAUCCUCAUCAGUUAAUUCUUUCAGAUGAUGAACAGGACCAGUGCACAUGUUUGAUAAUGCACCAUUGCUUGUAGUCACAAUGAUCUUGCUUCCCCUUACUCCACACCUCAAAGCAUACAGCCUUGUAAGGGAGACCCAUGCUUGAAGUUCAAAAUGGCAUCGCACUCUCUGGUCAUUGUAGAGAAAGCGAGCAAAGGUGGUUUUACCAACCCCAGCCAUACCCACAAUGCGAAUAAGACCUACAUCGUCUUCACUUGGAUCAUCGGAUAACAGCAGACUCAUCAUGGCAUCCUUAUCAGCCUCCCGACCAUAAAUAGCCGAUGCGUUAUCUUCUGGACGAGAAGUUGUCAGCAUUCCCCCUGCUGAUUGAUUCUCUCCCUUAGUAAUCGUCUCUUUAAACUCAACGUCAUCUAAUAUACCAUCCAAUUCAUCAAUCAUAGCCUCCAAAUUUUGCUCUACCGUCCGAGAAAGGAACAAUUCCCGCACCUGUUCGGGAGAGCCAGCUUCCAACUCGGAUCCCAGAGCAUUAUAAGUAAUUUCAUCCAACAAAUCUUCAGCGUCAUAACUAGCUUCUCUAAGCCGGUAAAGCCACCGUUUUCCACGUUCGUCAGUAAUCUGAUAAUCAUCAAGCACAGCUUUGGCAGCCCUCAUCUGGACAGACAGUCUCUCGAGCAGUACCUUCAGAGUUGAGCCCUUGAAGAAGUCAACAACAUUAUCACCCAUGUCAAGUACCAAAGCCUUAGCUAUUGACGCCACGAUAUCAGCCAUGGGUGGGUCUUCCUAUAUGAGAAAUAAACAAAGAAACAAAACUAUGAAAUCAAAGUCUGGGAAAGAAACACAAAGAGAGUCAGAAGAAGAAGAAGUUAAAGAACAUGUUUUUGUUGACGCGGAUCGAAUAUUUUUUUACCGGGCCAUUAUUGGACAGAGAUUAUAUAUAUAUUAUAUAAAUAAAUAAAUCUAAAAGUA
Long non-coding RNA from Ricinus communis (castor bean), 989 nucleotides. RefSeq lists it as uncharacterized. NCBI's taxonomy places the organism in Eukaryota, Viridiplantae, Streptophyta, Magnoliopsida, Malpighiales, Euphorbiaceae. The transcript is spliced from 2 exons. The record is from RefSeq and is a predicted model, not a curated record.